This 433-nucleotide unclassified non-coding RNA is filed under the name soil metagenome. RNAcentral's name for it is "partial contains 5.8S ribosomal RNA, internal transcribed spacer 2, and large subunit ribosomal RNA". The stretch from base 1 to 120 matches the Rfam family "5.8S ribosomal RNA", at positions 35 to 154 of the family's 154-position model. The record is from RNAcentral.
GAUGAAGAACGUAGCGAAAUGCGAUACGUAAUGUGAAUUGCAGAAUUCAGUGAAUCAUCGAAUCUUUGAACGCAUAUUGCGCUCUCUGGUAUUCCGGAGAGCAUGCUUGUUUGAGUAUCAGUAAACACCUCAACUUCCAUAUCUUUUUUGAAAUGGGAGUUGGACUUGAGUGAUCCCAACGCUUUUCCUCACCGAAAAGUGGCGGGUUACUUGAAAUGCAGGUGCAGCUGGACUUUUCUCUGAGCUAUAAGCAUAUCUAUUUAGUCUGCCUAAAAAACAGAUUAUUACCUUUGCUGCAGCUAACAUAAAGGAGAUUAGUUCUUGUGCUGACAGAUGCAGGAUUCACAAAGACAGGCUUCGGCCGACUUUGUAAACUCGAUCUCAAAUCAAGUAAGACUACCCGCUGAACUUAAGCAUAUCAAUAAGCGGAGGA